UGUGGUAUAUAGAUAUGAUUAUUAUCCUUUGGGGUUGGAGGACGUAACUACAAUGGCAGUCUUUAUGCAUUCCUAAGUUUAUUUGUUCAUGCAUUCAAAAAACACUUAUUGAGUAUCUCCUAAGUGAAAAGAUUUUGCCUGAGGGCUGACUAUAUAUACAGAUAAAAUUAAUGCCUGGGCCUUGAAUUAACAAAUAUUUGACCUGAGAUAUGUAAACAAAAGAAAUUACAACGGUGCACAACAAUAUUACAAGGCACAGAGGUGUGGUGUAAUCGACUCAGCCUUUGGAGGGGUGAGGCAGGGGAAAGUUCAAUGAAGACUUCCUGGAAGAGGUGACAAUGGAGCCUAAGAAGGUAAAUAGAAGUAUAUCAGGCAAACUAGGGUGGGGAGAGUAUUCCUGGAAUAGAGAACAGGGAAGAGUGAACUAUAUACAAGUAUACUGUAAAAAGUAUAGGCUGGGAAUGGUGAAAGAUUAGGCUGGAGUGCAGGGGGCAGAGCAUGAAGAUGGAUUUGGGACUUUGUCAUGGGGGUGACAGAAGGACAUUCAGAAAGCUGACAACAUAAGGUUGAGGAAAAUAGAGCAGGCUAGACAGAGACCAACUUAGGCAGCUCUUGCAGCAACCCAGGUGAGAGGGAAUUCAAAGAAAGCUAUGAUAGAGAAACUAUCAACUGAGGGUGGAAAAGGGAGAGUCAUUCUGCCUGGAAAGACCUGGGCAGACAUGGGGCGAUAGGGGAUCUGACUGUUUUGAAAGAAUUGAACUUCAACGGCACAAGCAGAAGGAAAUGGAAACUCCUUGGAGAUAGUCUGUGUUUGUGCUAAACCCCAAAGCCAGGCACAGACCAAGUCACAUAAACAAGCUUUUAAUGUACAUUUGCUGGAUGAAUGGAAAACAAAUUCCAGCGGUAUAUGCCUUAUCUCUUAACCCACUCCAAAACAUGGGACUGAAACAACCACCCUUUAGUCUUGCUUGCCAGUCUACAGAGUAGAUGGACAGCUCUGCUGGUCCCAGCCAAGCUUGGUUGAUCUCAGUGUCAGCAGUCAUCACACGCUCAAGCAUCUGCAGUCUUCUAGAUGGUGCAUUAGAGGCUGGACGGCUAUCAGGUUGAGAGACAGGGUGACUGAGCAUCUAAGUAGACUAGCCUGGGCUCAUUCCCAUGGUGGUGCUAGGGCUCAGUAGAGUGAACAAAAGCAUGCAAGGCCUUUUUAAGGCUUAGGCUUAGAAGUUGAGGUGCAUAACUUCUGUUGCCUCUUUUAGUCCAAGCAGGUCACAAGGCCUUUCCAGAUUCAAGUGGAGGGGAAAAUACCAUUUCUGGAUGAAAGAAAAUGGAACAUCACCUUCUGAAAGGAUGUGGGUAGAGUGGGGAAAAGAAUUGCAGUUGUUUAUAAUCUAUCACACAGGAAGAUGGCAGAAACUGAGCAGGGUUGAGAGGCUGGACUUUGCUGAGCAUCAUCAGGGCAGCACAGACAGACAGAGAUCACUCACAGGAGAGGCAGGUGAGGGGUAGCCAGGGUACAUGGAAGACUGAGCUGGAGGAGAAUGUAGAAGCCACACUAAGAAGCUUUGAACGUCAGGCUAAAGAUGUUUGUAAUGUGUUUUAUACUCCCCGGGUAGCUCUCAAAAGGUUCUGAGAUAGGAAAUGACACCAUCAAAAGAAACCUCAACCAAUGUGGGAGGUUAGGGGAGUUCAUUUUAGAUGCUGGGUGCUCGUCGUUCAAGAAUGGGCUGUACAUUGCAGCUAUGAGAAAAGCACGUAGAGCAGGAUCUUCUGGGUCUCUCCAUCAUCUCUCACUGCCCAGUGUUCUCUAGGGUGGCAACUGAAACCAUUUCAAAUGCAAAACCAGAAGCCAGCUUAAGUCUACCAAGACCACCAUAUGAUAAAGAUUACAACAUUCUCAACAACAUAUAACACGUUUGCUGGCCCAGGCCAAUUUUAAGCUACUUCUUUCUCUCCUUUGGCAGCAUCUCGGCCAUAAAAUGAAUGCAAUUAACAAUCUCUUGGAGUUCCCUAGUGGUUAAGGAUCCAGGGUUGUCACUGCUGUGACUUGGGUCACUGCUAUGGCACAGGUUCAAUCCCUGGCCCAGGAACUUCACCAUGCUGUGGGAGUGGCCCAAAACCAAAACAAACAAACCAACAAAAAACUGUUCUAUUUGUGGGACAUAAAUACUAAAUACUGUGGUAGAGCAGAUUCAUUAUUUUCAAAGCUCAAUAUGUUCUCUUUUAAACUUAAAGUAUAGUCUCCUCUUGCAUAGCCUUUGAAUGAACCUGGGGUUUGUUCUCUGUUUUGCAGUGUUGGGAACUUAACCAAAGAAAGGCUAUGAACAGAGUGAUAAAUGAUGGGUCAAGAGGAGGUGAGUAGACUUAAAUCCUAAGCCAUCUUAAAUGACAGUCCUUGCCCUCUAAGGAUAAACUCCUUCCACUUAUCUUUAAGAUGUACCAGCAUGACAAAAUAGGUCCCAUCACCCAUGCUAAAAAUGGCACCAUUUCAGACAGUUUAGUUUUCUUAAAAGGAAUCAUGGGAUGUUCCUCUCCUGACUUUUCUGUAAUCCCUAUGCCUCCUCCAGAGUUCUACCUUGGCAAUGUGAACCCAGUGCCAUGGCCCUGUGGCACCCUGCUUUAUCACUAAAGUCUAACCCUUAAUUGGUGCUUCAUGAUUAUUAGUCGAAUGAAUAUAGGAGUGAAUACUGGAGCCAAAUAGAGAAGAUUAAAGAGACUGACAAUAUUGAAUUCAGCACUUACCUGUGCCACUUGCCAGUUGUGUUUUCGUGGACAGGUUACUUGCUUAACCUCCUAAACCUUAGACUUAUCCCAUGUAAGGCGGCAAGAAGAAACUCUGCUGCAGAGUUUUCAUGGAAGAAAGUACCAGAGGAACUGCUGUGGGAUGAAUGCUCAAUAAAUAAAAGAUGAGAAGGGCAAGUUGGAGAAAGAGAUGGCCCCAAAUUCUGGCAAGGCAAAGUUCUCUCCAAAAGUACAGAAGGAGACAUAUGGAGCAAACCAAUUCGAUUUCCCUGCAGCUGGCAGGAAGAUGUCAGGAGACCACUCGCACUUUUUGGCUUCUUGCUAUCUCACCAAAACCAUUCCCUUCCUCAUCUGGAGAUGGGCUUUUAAAGUGUAGUCCAUAUGUCAGAUGGCAGCAUGAUGUGGACCAAACAUGAACUCCCAUUACUAAAUACAGCUCAUAUAUAACUGCAGGGGGUCCGAUUACACAGCCCCCAAAAGGUCUGUCCAAGUCUUAACGCUGGUACCUGAGACCUUAUUGGAAAUAGGGUCUUUGCAUAAGUAAUCAAGUUAAGACAAGGUCAUAUCAGAUUAGGAUGGGCCCUAAAUCCAGUGACUGGUGUCUUUAUAAGGGGAAGGAGAGGGAGAUUUGGACACAGAGACAUACACAGGGAAGAAGGCCAUGUGAUUGCAGAGACAGGAGUUGGACGGAUGUAUCUAGAAAACAGAGAAAUGUCAAGGGUCGUUGGCAACCACCAGAAGCUGGAAGAGGCACAAAAAGACCCUACCCUACAGCCUUCACAGUGAACAAGUCCCUGACAAAACCUUGAUUUAGACUUCUGGCCUCUAGAACUGUGAAAGAAUACAUUUCUGUUACUUUAAGCCACUCAAUUUGUGGCAAUUUGUUAUGGCAGCCUUAGCAAACUAAUACACAUACAAAUAGCUUUCAUUCUGGCCUCCAGGAUUUGUUACCAGCCUUUCCUGGAAAAAGUUUCAUAUCCAGAAUAAAGCCCUUUUAGGCAAUAGGACAUUUUCGGACAUGCAAAAUUAGUGAUCAUAGGAAUAAAGAAGGGGAACAAAGGGAUCAUCAAGAGGAGGCAGCAAAGGAGAUAACGGCCAAAAGAAAAUCAUCAAGGCAAAUGCGGGCAGCAGCAGGGCGACAGCGGGCAGUGUUAGCCAGAGCCGGCUUCCAGCUGAGAGAGGCCAGGUGGGGAUGGCCUUGACAGUUGCUACAGAAGACAGGUGUUGUGAAGUCAGCGGGCCCAGGACAACUGAAAGGUCACACAAGAUCAGGCCAGAAGCCAGGCCUGGAAAUGCCCAUGUCAGGCAUUUGAUCAUUCUUUCCAUCCUACAUCACGGGGAUUCUGGGUUUACUUACACUUGCAAGGGCUAGUUUGGCACGUGGGUGGAAUUUCUACCUAAAUCAUUCCUGGAAAGUUGUGUUCCUGUGAGUUUAUGGUCUCAAUCUGUAAUGGACCUUUCAUCACCCACUAGGGUAUCCCUUUAUUUGUGUGUUACUUACAAGGACUUGGGUCAUUCCCUCCUCCCCACCUUCUGUAUCCUAAGAUUGGAACCCAGAGUUCCAUGAGUGGGCUGAACUUACCUGGGCUCAGGGCCAGAUAAAGGGAGUGGCAGCUUCAUGGAAGUGCCACCGCCACUCACAGAGACAGACAAAGAACUGGUGCCAGGCUGUUGUAACAAAGGACUGUGGUUCCUUCCCCAUUACCUCAAAUAAAGAAAACUGUGGACCACAUGAUAAGUUAACUAGAAUCUCAACAUUUCAACAAUUUUGAAAGACUCUGGGGCCAACAACUGAUUGUAAAUGUUAUUUAAAAUUUAUUCUUGGAGUUUCUGCUGUGGCACAGUGAGUUAAGGAGUUGGUAUUGUCUUUGCAGAGGCUUGGGUUGCUGCUGAGAUGUGGGUUCAAUCCCUGGCCUGGUACAAUGAGUUAAGAAUCCAGCAUUGCAGCAGCUGUGGCAUAGGUCACAGCUACGGCUCAGAUUGGAGUCUCGGGCGGGGCAACUUCCAUAUUCUGCAGAUGCAGCCAAAUAAAUAUAAUAAAAUAAAAUUUAUUCUUGAGGGUCCUCUCUGUGCGGGACUCUGAACUAAGUCUGGGGGACCUGAAGUCAGAAGUUAUGACUGCUGGCAGCUCAUAAUCUCUUGUGGAAGGAGGAACCACAUGAGCAUUUGGAGAUCAAGCCAGAAGAAGGCACAGGCAAAGGGCCAAUGGGAAGGUGGUGGAGGAAGGGUUACUCAUAUGGAUGCACAUGGUUUCUGAAUACCUCCUCUGGGCCAGGGGCAGCAGAGACUGAGAAUAAGCAAGGGCCUUGCCUUGGGAGUGACUGAAGACAAAAUAUGUUCAACAUAAGCAGCCAGUUUCUGGCAACUUCUCUCUCCCUACCUUCCUCUCCCCACUUCCCUGUCCUUGUCACUGCGACCUACUUUUUUUCACAGCCUUCAUCACUUGCUGAAACAGUCUUGCUGGUUUAUAUGCUACUUGUUCAUUGCCUCUCUCUCUCAACGGAAUGUGUGCCUAGUGAGUGCAUGCUCUACACUAUCCCCAAACCCUAGGUGCCUGGCACUUAAUAGUUGCUCAAUGAAUAUUUGUUGACUGAAUAAACUAUAACCCCACAGGAAUAAAAGAAGCCAAUAAUGAAAAGAGAUUAAGAUUAUUGGCUUUGAGUCCAGACUCCCUGGGUUUGAACCUGAGCUCCUCCAUCUUUUCCCUGUUUGACCCUGAUCUGGUUAUUCGACAUUUGUAUGCCUCAGUUUCCUCAACCACAAAAUGGGAAAACUAACAUAACCCGCCUCAUGGGAUUGUUAGGAAGAGUAAGUGAAUUCAUAUAUACAAAAAGCACUGCAAGCAGGGAUUAACAAAAGUUUUCUUAAAGAGUCAUAUAGUAAAUAUUAUAGGUUUUGCAGGCUAUAUGGUUUCCUUGCAAUGACUCAACUCAGCUCCUUUAGCACAAAAGGAGCCACAGACAAUAGAUAAAGGGGUUGAGUGUGGCUGUCUUUCAAUCAAAACAUUAAGAAUUAUGGCACAACAUGUAACAUAUAAGAAUUAUAACCCAAAAUAAUAAUCUAUUGGCUAGAGAAUUCAAAGUCUUUCUUUUGCAACAAAUUCACAGUAUGAUUUCAAAACUUCCUAAGUCACAGUUUAGUCAUCUGUAAAUGGAGAUAAUAACUACUCUUUCCUACCUUGCUGGGUUAUUUAGUGAUCACAUCAGAUAAAAGAUGAAAUGAAAAGUACAGAUGUUCUAGGUACAAAUAAUGCCAAAAAACGCAGGACAAAUAUGAUUCUCCAGCACUGUUUGUACCCCAGGUUGCCAUGCAGAAGUUAGGUCAGAUAUUAUUAUCCUCAGUUUAUAGAUGAGAAAACCAGAGAUAUUAAAUGAUUCAUCUGAAGUCACAUAGCUCAUAAAUGGAGGACCUAAAUUUGAACCUAGAAAAAUUUUAUUCUAGCACAAUGUCUAUCAGCAACAGGGCAACAUAUCUCCCCAUAUAAAACAUGAAUCUUAUACACUGAGUUUCUCUUGGAAUUUUUCACCUUUACCUUUUCUAUUCAUAAAUAUCCCAUUUCUUUAGGCUAAUCCUAGGCCAAAGAAUUCCAUAAGAAUUGUAGCAGUUGCUUCCUAUCCUUGUAAUUAUUGAGAAGUCAUUAUAACUCAGCACACACCUUUUU
Molecule: long non-coding RNA, 6400 nt
Filed under: Sus scrofa (pig)
Lineage: Eukaryota; Metazoa; Chordata; Mammalia; Artiodactyla; Suidae
Description: lncRNA (ENSSSCG00000060902.1)
Source: RNAcentral